AGAUGGAGUACCACAGUCAGAUCUUGAGUACUGUAGAGAGAGCUCACUGCUGUAAGAGUCAAUCAUAGCAAGCCGUGGCAAAAGAGCCAUUGCUACUGAGCCCUAAUUCACAGGACAGUGACUCAGACCACGGAUUUGGAGAAGGAUUGCCAGGUUCAAGCCCCACUCAUCACUAACGAGUUAUAAGAAAGAGGUGGCAUAUGGUGGCAGCCGCCCUCCAUCUGCAAUGAGAAAGGACAGCUGUGUUGAAACUGAAAUACUUGAGCGAGCCCCGUCAAUGCAGGCAACUUUCUCUUUUGCUUCAAGCUCUGGUGAAGAAACCGAGGCCCAUUUCACCAACAAUGCAACUCACAUGAGAAGGCACUAUUUGCAUGUCAUGGCAGCAGACAGAGUGAAAAAGCCACUGUCAAACUUCACGUCCAACUGAUUUUAUAGAAAUGUGCUAGGCAUGAACCUCUACUGCACCCGGCCUAUCAGCACUUUUCAUUCGACCAUUCAUUCAUUUACUCCAAGGUGCUGUGUGUAAGCCAGCUUCCUGUGCUCAGAGAGCUCACAUGCAACAAACAUGCAGAUAAACAGUGGCAAUUGGCGGCAAAUGCAUGAAAGGAGAUACUUUCUGCUACAUGAAUAACACUCAUCAUAAUAAAUUACAACUGAGAGGAUAAAGCAGGGAGGGAAAUGGUCUCAGCCAACUUUACAAAAGGAGUCAAGUAGAACGUCUUGAAGAUAGUGACAUUUAAGCUGAGACCUAAGUCACGGGAAAGAGCAAACCACACCAUGCCGAGGCCCUCCAGGAGGAAACAGUCAGGGUUUUAAGGAAAGGAAAGAAUAUCAAAAUGGACAGAACUUGGGAGCAAGGGGCAGACAGGGGCCAGGAAGAGAGAUUAGGGUUUUAAAAUAAGUGCAAUGGUAAGUCCUUGCAGUGGAGUGAUACAAUCUGAGUGACAUUUGAAGGUCACUUUUGCUUCUUGUGGCUAUGGAAUAGUGGGGGGAGAUGGGUGGCAAGAGAGACAGUGGAGCGACAAGGGGGUUGGUUGUAGUAUUUCAGGCAAGAGAUGAUGGGGUAGCAAUGGACAGAAGAGAUGAUGGGGUAGCAGUGGACAGGAGAGAGAGAGGGCAGGAAUUUGAUGUAUGUUUGGAGAUGAUAACAUCAAAGGUUCUCACCAAUCCCUUGAAACGGGAGGAUGAGGUGAAAUGGAGGAAAUAGAAGUAACUCUCGGUUUUCUGUCUUGAACCUGAGCAGUAAUAUACAGCAGUCAGCAGUAAGUACCAUUAUUCUGACAUUCCUAAGAUGAAAAUCUAUACCAAGUACUACAUAAGUGAAUACAAUUAGUUACCGGACCUCUAUUAGUGUCUAACUUAAAAUUAGGGAAAAAGUAAGACAUAGGUAAGACUCCAGUCUGUUACUUUUUUUUUUUUUUUUU
Homo sapiens (human) is the source of this 1424-nucleotide long non-coding RNA. NCBI's taxonomy places the organism in Eukaryota, Metazoa, Chordata, Mammalia, Primates, Hominidae. The record is from Ensembl.